This 1225-nucleotide ribosomal RNA is filed under the name Hemitrichia lutescens. RNAcentral describes it as "SSU rRNA". It matches the Rfam family "Eukaryotic small subunit ribosomal RNA", at positions 26 to 1155 of the family's 1831-position model. The record is from RNAcentral. Lineage: Eukaryota; Evosea; Eumycetozoa; Trichiida; Trichiidae.
AUAUGCUUGUCCCGACGCUUAAGCCAUGCAAGCCUUAGAAGAAGUAGCUGAUCCCAAAUCUGCGAGCGGCUCCGUAUAUCUGUUAUCACUCCCCGCCCCGGGUAUCCUCGGAUAUCCCAGGUAAUUCUUAGGCUAAUACGUGCUUAUUUCGGGGCCGCCUAGCUGGGUGGGUUCACCGCCACGUGGCGGCUCCGGGCUUGCGGCGUCUUGCCAACGGCCCCCCCUUUCGGGGGGGGGCUCGCGGGAGGGCACGCAAGGGGCCCUUACCGUCCUUGCGGCGGUGGGGGUCGAUAGGCUCCAGACCUAUCAACCACGGCGUAGGGGAGAGCCCCUCGCCGGUGAUAACGGGUACAGAGGAUCAGGGUUCGGUCCUGGAGAGGUAGCCUUAGAGAUCGCUACUACUUCUAAGGAAGGCAGCAGGCGCGCAACGUUCCCAAUGGGGAGGACCCUGAGGACGUGAGGGGGCAUAGCAAUGCGGUGCCCUAAAAGGCGCUGCAAUUGAAAUGGGGGCGUCUUAGAUCCCCCACCGAGUAACGAUUGGAGGACAAGUCUGGUGCCAGCACCCGCGGUAAUUCCAGCUCCAAUAGCGUCUCGUUAAGUUGCUGCAGUUAAAACGCUCGUAGUCCCAGCCGGUGGCGCCUGGCAGGAUCCAUAGUAGCCUGGGUGAAAACGUAGGGGCGGGGGGGUGUCGCGGCGGUGCCACAGGUACGCGCCCCUUACCCCCUCCCCCGAGCCACCCAACGAAAUGGUCCAUACCACCCACCUAAUCGCCCUGGACCGGGGCGGCGGGGCUUCAGUGCCCUGCCGCCCCACCAGGGCACCAUACUUUGAGUAAAUUUGAGCGCUCAACGCAGGCCUCUAUGGCCGCCCUUGAAAAUCCUAGCAAAGAAUAUCGGAACAGGACUCGUCCUGGCCCGUUGGUACUAGGAGGAUUAAUGAUUAAUAGGGGGGAUCGGGGCCGGCCACAUGGCGGGGGUAGGGGUGAAAUCCGUUGAUCCUCGCCAGGUGAACUAAAGCGAAAGCAGCCGGCUAGUACCCUUUCUUUGAUCAAGAACGAAAGUCUGGGGAUCGAAGAUGAUCAGAUACCAUCGUAGUCCAGACCCUAAAUGCUGCCGACCAUGGAUGGGCUAGUGUCCAUCCCGACCCGGCCCGGACCUUGGGGGAAACCACGAGUGUCUGGGCUCCGGGGGGAGUAUGGUCGCAAGACUGAAACUUAAAGGAAUUG